This 1295-nucleotide small RNA is filed under the name Ribes nigrum phytoplasma. Its description in RNAcentral is "bacterial SSU rRNA". The stretch from base 1 to 1135 matches the Rfam family "Bacterial small subunit ribosomal RNA", at positions 394 to 1533 of the family's 1533-position model. The record is from RNAcentral. Lineage: Bacteria; Bacillati; Mycoplasmatota; Mollicutes; Acholeplasmatales; Acholeplasmataceae.
ACGCCGCGUGAACGAUGAAGUAUUUCGGUACGUAAAGUUCUUUUAUUAGGGAAGAAUAAAUGAUGGAAAAAUCAUUCUGACGGUACCUAAUGAAUAAGCCCCGGCUAACUAUGUGCCAGCAGCCGCGGUAAUACAUAGGGGGCAAGCGUUAUCCGGAAUUAUUGGGCGUAAAGGGUGCGUAGGCGGUUAAAUAAGUUUAUGGUCUAAGUGCAAUGCUCAACAUUGUGAUGCUAUAAAAACUGUUUAGCUAGAGUAAGAUAGAGGCAAGUGGAAUUCCAUGUGUAGUGGUAAAAUGCGUAAAUAUAUGGAGGAACACCAGUAGCGAAGGCGGCUUGCUGGGUCUUUACUGACGCUGAGGCACGAAAGCGUGGGGAGCAAACAGGAUUAGAUACCCUGGUAGUCCACGCCGUAAACGAUGAGUACUAAACGUUGGGUAAAACCAGUGUUGAAGUUAACACAUUAAGUACUCCGCCUGAGUAGUACGUACGCAAGUAUGAAACUUAAAGGAAUUGACGGGACUCCGCACAAGCGGUGGAUCAUGUUGUUUAAUUCGAAGGUACCCGAAAAACCUCACCAGGUCUUGACAUGCUUCUGCAAAGCUGUAGAAACACAGUGGAGGUUAUCAGUUGCACAGGUGGUGCAUGGUUGUCGUCAGCUCGUGUCGUGAGAUGUUGGGUUAAGUCCCGCAACGAGCGCAACCCUUAUUGUUAGUUACCAGCACGUAAUGGUGGGGACUUUAGCAAGACUGCCAGUGAUAAAUUGGAGGAAGGUGGGGACGACGUCAAAUCAUCAUGCCCCUUAUGACCUGGGCUACAAACGUGAUACAAUGGCUGUUACAAAGGGUAGCUGAAGCGCAAGUUUUUGGCAAAUCUCAAAAAAACAGUCUCAGUUCGGAUUGAAGUCUGCAACUCGACUUCAUGAAGUUGGAAUCGCUAGUAAUCGCGAAUCAGCAUGUCGCGGUGAAUACGUUCUCGGGGUUUGUACACACCGCCCGUCAAACCACGAAAGUUGGCAAUACCCAAAGCCGGUGGCCUAACUUCGCAAGAAGAGGGAACCGUCUAAGGUAGGGUCGAUGAUUGGGGUUAAGUCGUAACAAGGUAUCCCUACCGGAAGGUGGGGAUGGAUCACCUCCUUUCUAAGGAAACAAUUAUCAUCUUCAGUUUUGAGAGACUUAAGAAAGUUUUUCAUUGUCACUUGCUUGCAAAUUGUAUUUGCAACAUUUUAAUCUUUUUAAGAUUAAGGGCCUAUAGCUCAGUUGGUUAGAGCACACGCCUGAUAAGCGUGAGGUCGGUGGU